UACAGAGGGGGCAAGCGUUGUUCGGAAUUACUGGGCGUAAAGGGCGCGUAGGCGGCCUUCUAAGUCGAACGUGAAAUCCCCGGGCUCAACCCGGGAACUGCGUCCGAUACUGGAAGGCUUGAAUCCGGGAGAGGGAUGUGGAAUUCCAGGUGUAGCAGUGAAAUGCGUAGAGAUGUGGAGGAAUACCGAUGGCGAAGGCAGCCUCCUGGGCCAACACUGACGCUCAUGCACGAAAGCGUGGGGAGCAAACAGG
Molecule: ribosomal RNA, 253 nt
Filed under: uncultured bacterium
Lineage: Bacteria
Description: partial 16S ribosomal RNA
Rfam family: Bacterial small subunit ribosomal RNA
Source: RNAcentral